Molecule: non-coding RNA, 73 nt
Organism: Podarcis lilfordi (Lilford's wall lizard)
Lineage: Eukaryota; Metazoa; Chordata; Lepidosauria; Squamata; Lacertidae
Source: the annotation of a GenBank genome assembly
GGGCAAUGUAGUUCAGUAACAGAACACCUGCUUUGCAUGCAGAAGGCCCCAAGUUCAAUCCUUUGCAUAUCCU